This 519-nucleotide long non-coding RNA is filed under the name Vulpes vulpes (red fox). RNAcentral's name for it is "lncRNA (ENSVVUG00000003538.1)". The record is from RNAcentral. Lineage: Eukaryota; Metazoa; Chordata; Mammalia; Carnivora; Canidae.
GCCCCCCUGGCAUCCCGGCCGCUGGGCGCGGCGGCGCGCAUGCGCAGCUCCUCGGGCCGGCUCCGGCGCACCUUUUCUCCCCGCUGCCACAAUGUGAGCGCCCCGCCGCCCAGAUAACCGCCGACUCCCGCUCCACCCCCGCCCUCCCCCACUCCGCCCACUGCCGAGCGCCCAGGACCCUAGGACUUGCCCUUGUGUAUCUGAAGCUUUGGUGACCAGUACUUUGGAAGGCCUUGGGCCACAGGGCUGGACCCCAGGAUUAUGACCUGAGCGGAAGGCUCAACCACUGAGCCACCCAGGUACCCCUGAUGUGAAAACUCAAGUCCUCCCUGAGAGCAUCAGGUUGAAUAGUGUCUGACAGUGGAGAGUGACCUGGGGAUGACCAGGAAGUGACCUGGAAGUGACCAGUGACCUUCUGUGAAGCCCUAACUAGUGGCAAGGCUGAGCCUCUGCUGCAAACAAGGUAAAUUGGAGGACUUCAGGUGGCUACCCUCCACAGACCAAGGAGGGAAGGGAAAU